Molecule: ribosomal RNA, 497 nt
Filed under: uncultured bacterium
Lineage: Bacteria
Description: partial 16S ribosomal RNA
Rfam family: Bacterial small subunit ribosomal RNA
Source: RNAcentral
GAUGAACGCUGGCGGCGUGCCUAAUACAUGCAAGUCGAGCGAACAGACGAGGAGCUUGCUCCUCUGACGUUAGCGGCGGACGGGUGAGUAACACGUGGAUAACCUACCUAUAAGACUGGGAUAACUUCGGGAAACCGGAGCUAAUACCGGAUAAUAUAUUGAACCGCAUGGUUCAAUAGUGAAAGACGGUUUUGCUGUCACUUAUAGAUGGAUCCGCGCCGCAUUAGCUAGUUGGUAAGGUAACGGCUUACCAAGGCAACGAUGCGUAGCCGACCUGAGAGGGUGAUCGGCCACACUGGAGCUGAGACACGGUCCAGACUCCAACGGGAGGCGGCAGUAGGGAAUCUUCCGGGAUGGGCGGAAGCCUGACGGGGCAACGGCGCGUGAGUGAUGAAGGUCUUCGGAUCGUAAAACUCUGUUAUUAGGGAAGAACAAAUGUGUAAGUAACUAUGCACGUCUUGACGGUACCUAAUCAGAAAGCCACGGCUAACUACGUG